AUGGCAAAUAGGCUGCCAAAGUGGAAGGCAGCACUCAUGCCAAAGAGUGGCCGGCUAACUUUGGUUCAAUCCGUGCUCUGCGCCAUGCCAAUCCAUGCUAUGAUGGCAUUAGAUCUCCCGAUGAAAACUAUCGCAUCUAUGAACAAGAUUUGCAGAGUCUUCUUGUGGUGUAGGAGAGUGGAAGCGAAUGGUGGCAACUGUGCGGUUGCAUGGGACAUGGUUUGCUCGCCCAAGUGGGCAGGUGGCUUGGGGCUGCGAAGUCUAAGAUGGAUGAACAUCGCCAUGCAGGCCCGUUGGCUGUGGCUACAAAGGAUAGAUGAGUCAAGGCCGUGGAGCGAGUUUCGAAUAAAAGUCACGGAUGAUGCAAGACUGCUGUGCCAGGCAGCUAUGAGGAGUACAGCGUGGUCGGGCCGCACAACAUUUUUUGGGAAGACAAAUGGUUAG
This 444-nucleotide ribosomal RNA is filed under the name Triticum aestivum (bread wheat). RNAcentral's name for it is "partial small subunit ribosomal RNA". The record is from RNAcentral. Lineage: Eukaryota; Viridiplantae; Streptophyta; Magnoliopsida; Poales; Poaceae.